This 861-nucleotide ribosomal RNA is filed under the name Koorchaloma oryzae. RNAcentral describes it as "Koorchaloma sp. TXG-2021a partial large subunit ribosomal RNA". It matches the Rfam family "Eukaryotic large subunit ribosomal RNA", at positions 56 to 949 of the family's 3401-position model. The record is from RNAcentral. Lineage: Eukaryota; Fungi; Ascomycota; Sordariomycetes; Trichosphaeriales; Trichosphaeriaceae.
GAAAGAAACCAACAGGGAUUGCCUCAGUAACGGCGAGUGAAGCGGCAACAGCUCAAAUUUGAAAUCUGGCCCCCAGGGCCCGAGUUGUAAUUUGCAGAGGAUGCUUUUGGCGCGGUGCCUUCCGAGUUCCCUGGAACGGGACGCCAUAGAGGGUGAGAGCCCCGUCUGGUCGGACACCAAGCCUCUGUAAAGCUCCUUCGACGAGUCGAGUAGUUUGGGAAUGCUGCUCUAAAUGGGAGGUAUAUGUCUUCUAAAGCUAAAUACCGGCCAGAGACCGAUAGCGCACAAGUAGAGUGAUCGAAAGAUGAAAAGCACUUUGGAAAGAGAGUUAAAAAGCACGUGAAAUUGUUGAAAGGGAAGCGUUUGCGACCAGACUUGGGCCGGUUGAUCAUCCAGCGUUCUCGCUGGUGCACUCUGCCGGCCCAGGCCAGCAUCAGUUCGCCGCGGGGGAGAAAGGCGGAGGGAAUGUGGCUCCCUCGGGAGUGUUAUAGCCCACCGCGCAAUACCCUGCAGCGGACUGAGGUUCGCGCAUCUGCAAGGAUGCUGGCGUAAUGGUCGCCAACGACCCGUCUUGAAACACGGACCAAGGAGUCGUCUUCGUAUGCGAGUGUUCGGGUGUCAAACCCCUACGCGUAAUGAAAGUGAACGCAGGUGAGAGCUUCGGCGCAUCAUCGACCGAUCCUGAUGUUCUCGGAUGGAUUUGAGUAAGAGCAUACGGGGCCGGACCCGAAAGAAGGUGAACUAUGCCUGUAUAGGGUGAAGCCAGAGGAAACUCUGGUGGAGGCUCGCAGCGGUUCUGACGUGCAAAUCGAUCGUCAAAUAUGGGCAUGGGGGCGAAAGACUAAUCGAACCUCUAUAGUG